GAUGAAGAACGCAGCGAAAUGCGAUAAGUAAUGUGAAUUGCAGAAUUCAGUGAAUCAUCGAAUCUUUGAACGCAUCUUGCGCUCCUUGGUAUUCUGAGGAGCAUGCCUGUUUGAGUGUCAUUAAAUUCUCAACCGCACUGACUUUGAAUUGGUGUGGCUUGGAUUUGGGGGGAAAAUUGUUGUGGGCUUUUUUGUAUAGUCUGCUCCCCUGAAAUUGAUUAGCGGUACCUUUGUGGAACUGUCUACAGGUGUGAUAAUUAUCUACAUCCUAGACAUCUGCUGGAAUGCUGCUUUCUAAACCUUACUUGUAUUGACAAUCUUGGCCUCAAAUCAGGUAGGACUACCCGCUGAACUUAAGCAUAUCAAUAAGCGGAGGA
RNAcentral lists this unclassified non-coding RNA (377 nucleotides) under soil metagenome. Its description in RNAcentral is "partial contains 5.8S ribosomal RNA, internal transcribed spacer 2, and large subunit ribosomal RNA". The stretch from base 1 to 120 matches the Rfam family "5.8S ribosomal RNA", at positions 35 to 154 of the family's 154-position model. The record is from RNAcentral.